UGCCUUUGGUGAAUUUCUUUUUUUUUUUUAAUGUUCAGAUCUGAUCCUGAAAGAAAAACAAAUGAGUUAAAUCAAUUCCCCGGCAACGGCGCCAAUUUUUGACUCGCGGUUGUCGAAGCCGGUCAAAAAUAACCUUUCUGGUUAUAAACAAUUUACAACUGCAGAUAGUGGUGAAAGGAUCAAAUCCACAGGGAAUUGAAGACUUACCUAUUUUCCUUAUCAAGACCAAUAAAAUAAACUGAAAUAAAAAUAAACUGCAAAAGAAGAAAACUGAAAACGAGAUAAACUGAAACAAGAUAAAACUGAAACGAGAUAAAACUGAAAACGAGAUAAACUGAAAUGAGAUAAAACUGAAAUGAGAUAAAACUGAAAGAGAAAUAAACGGAAAGCAAAAUAAACUAAAACGAGAUAAAACUGAAACCAACUAAACUGUAAGUAAAAUGGGGGGGUUUUGAGAUUGAUUUAAUUAAUCUAAAA
This 477-nucleotide long non-coding RNA is filed under the name Manihot esculenta (cassava). RNAcentral's name for it is "long non-coding RNA (MESC_LNC000183)". The record is from RNAcentral. Lineage: Eukaryota; Viridiplantae; Streptophyta; Magnoliopsida; Malpighiales; Euphorbiaceae.